CUUAUGUACACGAACCAUAGUUAAGAAUCUUAAGAACAGGGGUGCAGGUUAUGUGAUGGCCACACCUGUAUUCCCUGGUAAACCUCCUGUUUACCUGUCGUGGUGCUAUGGGACUGGGACUGGGAUGGGAUGGGAUGGGGGCAAUUCUGCAUUAUAGAACAGUUUUAAUCUCGUACAGACAUCAGUGAUGAAUCAUGCCUUAAAGCAUUCAGAGCGGCCUCAAGGUCUGACAGAAAGGAGAGGAGAGACAGUGGGGUAGAAAUCAAAUGAAAAGAACAGGUUCUUUUGGGCCUGUGGUUCUCCUUGCUCUGUGAUUUGGACUGAUGAGUGCUCCCACAGCUGGGGUGGAUAAGUUGGGCAGAUGUUUUUUUUUUUUUCAGACACAAAGCUGGACAGAACCCAAGAUAGGCAAUGGUGCUAAAAAUGGUCUUGUGUUCUCAUUAACACACAUUGAAAUACUUCUUGGAAGAGCAUUAUAUUAAAAUAAGAUUUUAACUCAUCAUUUAUUUGUAUUAUUGGAAUAUUUAGACCUGCAAAGCACACCAUGUACAUUUUUUGUCUUUUUUUUGUCUUUAUUUCUUUUUGAACAUUUAACAUUUAAAUCCAUCCAGUGGGUGCAUGAUGCAUUGACAGCACGGUUUCACCACACCGCCGUGACAGUAGCACAGUCCGUGAGCUGUGAUUGGAUGGCAGCAGAGUCUACGAGCUGUGAUUGGACAACAGCAGAGUCCGUGAGCUCGGAUUGGAUGCCAGCAGGGGCAGUGGGCCAAAGCUCCGUCUCCAGGUGUGCCACACAGAUAGCAUCCAUUCCAAGAAAGAAAGAAAGAAAGAAAGAAAGCUGGAUGGCACAAUCAUGUUUUUUUUUCUUCUUUCAAACAGUUCAUUUUCCCUUUUUCUCCUCUUCUCUCGUCUGAAGUAAAGGCUUUCUCGAGCAUUCCUUUGUGUAGAGCUGACUCUGCUCCCAUGGUUAAAGGAAAACAAGAGUAACAUCCAUGGGAGGAUGAAGGUGCAGGGGGGAGGGGGGGGCAGGUGUCAGUAUUGCUACAGCAGUACCUUUCUUGUGCUCGGGCGUGAGUGCCCAUCCCCCCCUGCUCCGGGCUCCGGCGCUGCGGACCUGAGCGGCGCUGGGCGGAUGUCGGCGCGGGCCGAUGUAGCUCCGGCCUGGUGGUGCUCAUCAGGCUGCAGGUUGGAGUAGCCCCUCUCACUCAGCCUGCAAGAGACAGCGCAGGAGAAGUCAUUAAAGAACUCAAAACUCAAACUCAAAUGGACUCAACUACAGUGGCUUGCAUUACCAUUAUCUUUCUUUUUUUUUACAAAAGACUUCCCAAUCAGUAUUGUCAUUGUGAACACUUAUACUGUAGUAUACUGUACUGCUAAAGGCUAAAGUUGUUUGUCUACUUUAAUUAAAAAGAAAGUUGAAAACUAAAAUAUUCUGCUUGCAUAUGUAUUCAAC
Molecule: long non-coding RNA, 1453 nt
Organism: Clupea harengus (Atlantic herring)
Lineage: Eukaryota; Metazoa; Chordata; Actinopteri; Clupeiformes; Clupeidae
Source: Ensembl